CGGAAAUAAAGGAAAGACAGUUUGACUUUUAAUCAAGUUGUCCGGGGUUCGAAUCCCCGAUGUCUCA
RNAcentral lists this transfer RNA (67 nucleotides) under Caudoviricetes sp. Its description in RNAcentral is "tRNA-Ser". The record is from RNAcentral. Lineage: Duplodnaviria; Heunggongvirae; Uroviricota; Caudoviricetes.